AGAGUUUGAUCCUGGCUCAGGACGAACGCUGGCGGCGUGCUUAACACAUGCAAGUCGAACGGUAAGGCCCUUCGGGGUACACGAGUGGCGAACGGGUGAGUAACACGUGGGUAAUCUGCUCUGCACAUCGGGAUAAGCCUGGGAAACUGGGUCUAAUACCGAAUAGGACCACAGGACACAUGUCCUGUGGUGGAAAGCUUUUGCGGUGUGGGAUGGGCCCGCGGCCUAUCAGCUUGUUGGUGGGGUGAUGGCCUACCAAGGCGACGACGGGUAGCCGGCCUGAGAGGGUGUCCGGCCACACUGGGACUGAGAUACGGCCCAGACUCCUACGGGAGGCAGCAGUGGGGAAUAUUGCACAAUGGGCGAAAGCCUGAUGCAGCGACGCCGCGUGGGGGAUGACGGCCUUCGGGUUGUAAACCUCUUUCACCAUCGACGAAGGUCCGGGUUUUCUCGGGCUGACGGUAGGUGGAGAAGAAGCACCGGCCAACUACGUGCCAGCAGCCGCGGUAACACGUAGGGUGCGAGCGUUGUCCGGAAUUACUGGGCGUAAAGAGCUCGUAGGUGGUUUGUCGCGUUGUUCGUGAAAUCUCACGGCUUAACUGUGAGCGUGCGGGCGAUACGGGCAGACUUGAGUACUGCAGGGGAGACUGGAAUUCCUGGUGUAGCGAUGGAAUGCGCAGAUAUCAGGAGGAACACCGGUGGCGAAGGCGGGUCUCUGGGCAGUAACUGACGCUGAGGAGCGAAAGCGUGGGGAGCGAACAGGAUUAGAUACCCUGGUAGUCC
This 783-nucleotide ribosomal RNA is filed under the name uncultured bacterium. RNAcentral's name for it is "bacterial SSU rRNA". It matches the Rfam family "Bacterial small subunit ribosomal RNA", at positions 8 to 796 of the family's 1533-position model. The record is from RNAcentral.